RNAcentral lists this ribosomal RNA (328 nucleotides) under uncultured bacterium. Its description in RNAcentral is "bacterial SSU rRNA". It matches the Rfam family "Bacterial small subunit ribosomal RNA", at positions 28 to 361 of the family's 1533-position model. The record is from RNAcentral.
GAUGAACGCUGGCGAGAUGCUUUACACAUGCAAGUCAUACGAGAGUUUUUAACUCAAGUGGCGGACGGGUGAGUAACACGUAAGAAUUUACCUUUAGGAGGGGGAUAACAUACGCUAAUAUAUAUUAGCUUUGAGAAAUUGGUGCUAAUACCCCAUAUGCUUUCGAGUGAAAUGGAUUUUUCCGCCUAGAGAGAAGCUUGCGUCUGAUUAGCUUGUUGGUAAGGUAAUGGCUUACCAAGGCGACGAUCAGUAUCUGGUUUGAGAGGAUGAUCAGACACACUGGAACUGAGACACGGUCCAGACUCCUACGGGAGGCAGCAGUGGGGAA